Molecule: ribosomal RNA, 257 nt
Filed under: uncultured bacterium
Lineage: Bacteria
Description: partial 16S ribosomal RNA
Rfam family: Bacterial small subunit ribosomal RNA
Source: RNAcentral
UACAGAGGGGGCAAGCGUUGUUCGGAAUUACUGGGCGUAAAGGGCGCGUAGGCGGCCUGUUAAGUCGAACGUGAAAUCCCCGGGCUCAACCCCGGGAACUGCGUCCGAUACUGGCAGGCUUGAAUCCGGGAGAGGGAUGUGGAAUUCCAGGUGUAGCGGUGAAAUGCGUAGAUAUCUGGAGGAACACCGGUGGCGAAGGCGACAUCCUGGACCGGUAUUGACGCUGAGGCGCGAAAGCCCAGGGGAGCAAAACGGGG